AUACAGGGUGACAGCCCCGUACACAAAAGCGUAUGUGCUGUGAGCUCGAUGAGUAGGGCGGGACACGUGGUAUCCUGUCUGAAUAUGGGGGGACCAUCCUCCAAGGCUAAAUACUCCUGACUGACCGAUAGUGAACCAGUACCGUGAGGGAAAGGCGAAAAGAACCCCGGCGAGGGGAGUGAAAAAGAACCUGAAACCGUGUACGUACAAGCAGUGGGAGCCCCACCACUAAGCCAGUGGUGAACUCCACAUACGCAUCCUUUGCUGAGGAUACGGUUAACGGAGCGAAAGCGACGUUCAACCGCAAAAGAAGCAGAGGGGGCUUAGUGGUGGGGUGACUGCGUACCUUUUGUAUAAUGGGUCAGCGACUUAUAUUCUGUAGCAAGGUUAACCGAAUAGGGGAGCCGGAGGGAAACCGAGUCUUAACCGGGCGUUAAGUUGCAGGGUAUAGACCCGAAACCCGGUGAUCUAGCCAUGGGCAGGUUGAAGGUUGGGUAACACUAACUGGAGGACCGAACCGACUAAUGUUGAAAAAUUAGCGGAUGACCUGUGGCUGGGGGUGAAAGGCCAAUCAAACCGGGAGAUAGCUGGUUCUCCCCGAAAGCUAUUUAGGUAGCGCCUCGUGAAUUCAUCUCCGGGGGUAGAGCACUGUUUCGGCUAGGGGGCCAUCCCGGCUUACCAACCCGAUGCAAACUGCGAAUACCGGAGAAUGUUAUCACGGGAGACACACGGCGGGUGCUAACGUCCGUCGUGAAGAGGGAAACAACCCAGACCGCCAGCUAAGGUCCCAAAGUCAUGGUUAAGUGGGAAACGAUGUGGGAAGGCCCAGACAGCCAGGAUGUUGGCUUAGAAGCAGCCAUCAUUUAAAGAAAGCGUAAUAGCUCACUGGUCGAGUCGGCCUGCGCGGAAGAUGUAACGGGGCUAAACCAUGCACCGAAGCUGCGGCAGCGACGCUUAUGCGUUGUUGGGUAGGGGAGCGUUCUGUAAGCCUG
This 992-nucleotide ribosomal RNA is filed under the name Salmonella enterica. RNAcentral describes it as "partial 23S ribosomal RNA". It matches the Rfam family "Bacterial large subunit ribosomal RNA", at positions 357 to 1251 of the family's 2925-position model. The record is from RNAcentral. Lineage: Bacteria; Pseudomonadati; Pseudomonadota; Gammaproteobacteria; Enterobacterales; Enterobacteriaceae.